GGAUAGCUCAGCUGGUUAGAGCAUGGUGCUGAGAAUGCCAAGGUUGCAAGUUCGAUUCCCACAAAGGACAGCUGCA
This 76-nucleotide transfer RNA is filed under the name Podarcis lilfordi (Lilford's wall lizard). RNAcentral describes it as "tRNA.Leu". Lineage: Eukaryota; Metazoa; Chordata; Lepidosauria; Squamata; Lacertidae. The record is from RNAcentral.